This 1443-nucleotide ribosomal RNA is filed under the name Candidatus Regiella insecticola. Its description in RNAcentral is "bacterial SSU rRNA". It matches the Rfam family "Bacterial small subunit ribosomal RNA". The record is from RNAcentral. Lineage: Bacteria; Pseudomonadati; Pseudomonadota; Gammaproteobacteria; Enterobacterales; Enterobacteriaceae.
AUCGGGGAGUAGCUUGCUACUCUGCCGGCGAGCGGCGGACGGGUGAGUAAAGUCUGGGGAUCUGGCUUAUGGAGGGGGAUAACCAUUGGAAACGGUGGCUAAUACCGCAUGAUGUCGCAAGACCAAAGUGGGGGACUUUAGGGCCUCACGCCAUAAGAUGAACCCAGAUGAGAUUAGCUAGUAGGUGCGGUAAUGGCGUACCUAGGCGACGAUCUCUAGCUGGUCUGAGAGGAUGACCAGCCACACUGGAACUGAGAGACGGUCCAGACUCCUACGGGAGGCAGCAGUGGGGAAUAUUGCACAAUGGGCGGAAGCCUGAUGCAGCCAUGCCGCGUGUGUGAAGAAGGCCUUAGGGUUGUAAAGCACUUUCAGCGGGGAGGAAGGCGGUAAGAGUAAUAUGCUUAUCGAUUGACGUUACCCGCAAAAGAAGCACCGGCUAACUCCGUGCCAGCAGCCGCGGUAAUACGGAGGGUGCGAGCGUUAAUCGGAAUAACUGGGCGUAAAGGGCAUGUAGGCGGUAAGUAAGUCAGAUGUGAAAUCCCCGAGCUUAACUUGGGAACGGCAUUUGAGACUGGCUGGCUAGAGUUUUGUAGAGGGGGGUAGAAUUCCAGGUGUAGCGGUGAAAUGCGUAGAGAUCUGGAGGAAUACCGGUUGCGAAGGCGGCCCCCUGGACAAGGACUGACGCUGAGGUGCGAAAGCGUGGGUAGCAAACAGGAUUAGAUACCCUGGUAGUCCACGCUGUAAACGAUGUCGAUUUGGAGGUUGUGGCCUAGUGUUAUGGCGUCCGAAGCUAACGCGAUAAAUCGACCGCCUGGGGAGUACGGCCGCAAGGUUAAAACUCAAAUGAAUUGACGGGGGCCCGCACAAGCGGUGGAGCAUGUGGUUUAAUUCGAUGCAACGCGAAGAACCUUACCUACUCUUGACAUCCACGGAAUUGAGCAGAGAUGCUUAAGUGCCUUCGGGAGCCGUGAGACAGGUGCUGCAUGGCUGUCGUCAGCUCGUGUUGUGAAAUGUUGGGUUAAGUCCCGCAACGAGCGCAACCCUUGUCCUUUGUUGCCAGCACGUGAUGGUGGGAACUCAAAGGAGACUGCCGGUGAUAAACCGGAGGAAGGUGGGGAUGACGUCAAGUCAUCAUGGCCCUUACGAGUAGGGCUACACACGUGCUACAAUGGCUCAUACAAAGAGCGGCGAGCGUGCGAACGUAAGCGAACCUCAUAAAGUGCGUCGUAGUCCGGAUUGGAGUCUGCAACUCGACUCCAUGAAGUCGGAAUCGCUAGUAAUCGUGGAUCAGAAUGCUACGGUGAAUACGUUCCCGGGCCUUGUACACACCGCCCGUCACACCAUGGGAGUGGGCGGCAAAAGAAGUAGGUAGCUUAACCUUCGGGGGGGCGCUUACCACUUUGUGGUUCAUGACUGGGGUGAAGUCGUAACAAGGUAACCGUA